Molecule: ribosomal RNA, 253 nt
Filed under: uncultured bacterium
Lineage: Bacteria
Description: partial 16S ribosomal RNA
Rfam family: Archaeal small subunit ribosomal RNA
Source: RNAcentral
UACCAGCACCCCGAGUGGUCGGGACGAUUAUUGGGCCUAAAGCAUCCGUAGCCGGUCAUGCAAGUCCUCCGUUAAAUCCACCUGCUUAACAGAUGGGCUGCGGAGGAUACUACAAGGCUAGGAGGCGGAAGAGGCAAGCAGUACUCAGUGGGUAGGGGUAAAAUCCUCUGAUCCAUUGAAGACCACCAGUGGCGAAGGCGGCUUGCCAAUACGCGCUCGACGGUGAGGGAUGAAAGCUGGGGGAGCAAACCGG